This 60-nucleotide microRNA precursor is filed under the name Schistosoma curassoni. Its description in RNAcentral is "mir-3492 microRNA precursor family". It matches the Rfam family "mir-3492 microRNA precursor family", at positions 1 to 60 of the family's 79-position model. The record is from Rfam by way of RNAcentral. Lineage: Eukaryota; Metazoa; Platyhelminthes; Trematoda; Strigeidida; Schistosomatidae.
AGCUUUUCGAAUCCGUGCUGAGAUUUCGUCAGACACCAACCCAUUAGGGCUGAUCAGACU